This 489-nucleotide ribosomal RNA is filed under the name uncultured eukaryote. RNAcentral's name for it is "bacterial SSU rRNA". It matches the Rfam family "Eukaryotic small subunit ribosomal RNA", at positions 592 to 985 of the family's 1831-position model. The record is from RNAcentral.
CAAUAGCGUAUAUUAAAGUUGUUGCAGUUAAAAAGCUCGUAGUUGGAUUUCGGGGCCCCGGGCGUUCGUUACGUUUCCUGCUGGACUUGUCCUGUGGGGCGUGGCGGGCGUCGGUCUCUGAGUCGGAUCGGUCCGCCGAGAGGCGUGUACUGACCGACGGCCCCUGUUGUCUCUCGGGUUGCCCGCCUGCACUUAACUGUUGCGGACGGGGAGUUCGGGACGUUUACUUUGAACAAAUUAGAGUGUUCCAAGCAGGCCGAUUGCUUUGAAUACAUUAGCAUGGAAUAAUGGAAUAGGGCUGCGUGAUUCGUUGCCUUCGGGUGGCGGGUCCUCGUGUCCUAUUUUGUUGGUUUGCACACCAAGGUAAUGAUUAAUAGGGAUAGUUGGGGGUAUUCGUAUUUAAUUGUCAGAGGUGAAAUUCUUGGAUUUAUGAAAGACGAACUACUGCGAAAGCAUUUACCAAAGAUGUUUUUCAUUUAAUCAAGAACG